RNAcentral lists this ribosomal RNA (1739 nucleotides) under human oral metagenome. RNAcentral's name for it is "bacterial LSU rRNA". It matches the Rfam family "Bacterial large subunit ribosomal RNA", at positions 909 to 2300 of the family's 2925-position model. The record is from RNAcentral.
ACUGAAUGGGCUAGGGCAUACACCAAUGUACCAAACCCUAUCAAACUCCGAAUACUUAUAGCGUAACCACGGCAGUCAGGCGGCGAGUGAUAAAAUCCGUCGUCAAGAGGGAAACAACCCGGACUAACAGCUAAGGUCCCCAAAUCUCAUUUAAGUGGAAAACGAUGUGAAGUUACUGAAACAACCAGGAGGUUGGCUUAGAAGCAGCCAUCCUUUAAAGAUAGCGUAAUAGCUCACUGGUCUAGUGAUUUUGCGCGGAAAAUAUAACGGGGCUAAAAUGAGUACCGAAGCUUUAGACUUGCACUUAAUCAUUUAUACUAGCUCGUCUUUUGGCGAUAAAUUAAUGAGUUUGAUUUUUUCUCAAUCGAUAGGCUAAAAUCCUUAUCUCAAAUCGAAAAAAUCUUCACAACAUUAAUUUCUCAUCCAAAAUACUUCGCUUUCUAUAUUCAAAUUUUAAAGAUUUCGAACUUUGUUAAUUUUAAAAUUUUUUAGAAUUUUAAAAUCCCAACUUAGAUAUUUAAAAUUUAACAACCAAGAGGCGAAGAAAGACAAACAAAACUUUAAGAUAUCGGAUAAAUUCUUAAAUAUCUUAAGUUUUAAAUUUGAACAAAGCCGCAAGAAAAGUAUAAAUCAUUAAGUGCAAGUGGUAGGAGAGCGUUCCAAUCAGCGUCGAAGCCGUACCGGUAAGGAGCGGUGGAGCGGUUGGAAGUGAGCAUGCAGGCAUGAGUAGCGAUAAAAUACGUGAGAAUCGUAUUCGCCGUAAACCCAAGGUUUCCUACGCGAUGCUCGUCAUCGUAGGGUUAGUCGGGUCCUAAGCAAAGUCCGAAAGGGGUAUGCGAUGGAAAAUCGGUUAAUAUUCCGAUACCGAUAUCAGUGUGCGACGGAAGGACGCUUAAAGUUAGUGGAGCUAGCGGAUGGAAGUGCUAGUCUAAGGAAGUAGGUUGAGUUAUAGGCAAAUCCGUAACUCUUUAUCCGAGAUCUGAAAGGCUUCUGACGCUCUUCGGAGUAGAUGAAGAAUCCAUGAUACUAUCGAGCCGAGAAAAGUUUCUAAGUUUAGCUGAUAUCGCCCGUACCGUAAACCGACACAGGUGGGUGGGAUGAGUAUUCUAAGGCGCGUGGAAGAACUCUCUUUAAGGAACUCUGCAAAAUAGCACCGUAUCUUCGGUAUAAGGUGUGCCUAGCUUCGUUAAGAAUUUACUUCGUAAGCGAAGAAGGUUACAACAAAGAGUCCCUCCCGACUGUUUACCAUAAACACAGCACUCUGCUAACUCGUAAGAGGAUGUAUAGGGUGUGACGCCUGCCCGGUGCUCGAAGGUUAAUUGAUGAUGUUAGCUUAUGCAAAGCAUCUGAUCGAAGCCCGAGUAAACGGCGGCCGUAACUAUAACGGUCCUAAGGUAGCGAAAUUCCUUGUCGGUUAAAUACCGACCUGCAUGAAUGGCGUAACGAGAUGGGAGCUGUCUCAAAGAGGGAUCCAGUGAAAUUGUAGUGGAGGUGAAAAUUCCUCCUACCCGCGGCAAGACGGAAAGACCCCGUGGACCUUUACUAUAGCUUGACACUGCUACUUGGAUAAAGAUGCGCAGGAUAGGUGGGAGGCUUCGAUUCGUAGAUCUCGGUUUACGAUGAGCCAUUGUUGAGAUACCACUCUUCUUUAUUCGGGUAGCUAACUAGCCUAAGUUAUCCUUAGGUAGGACAAUGUCUGGUGGGUAGUUUGACUGGGGCGGUCGCCUCCCAAAAUGUAA